RNAcentral lists this ribosomal RNA (433 nucleotides) under uncultured bacterium. RNAcentral describes it as "partial 16S ribosomal RNA". It matches the Rfam family "Bacterial small subunit ribosomal RNA", at positions 29 to 507 of the family's 1533-position model. The record is from RNAcentral.
AACGAAAGCUGGCGGCAUGCCUAACACAUGCGAGUCGAACGAGACCUUCGGGUCUAGUGGCGCACGGGUGCGUAACGCGUGGGAACCUGCCCUUAGGUUCGGAAUAACUCCCCGAAAGGGGUGCUAAUACCGGAUAAUGUCUUCGGACCAAAGAUUUAUCGCCUUUGGAUGGGCCCGCGUUGGAUUAGCUAGUUGGUAGGGUAAAAGCCUACCAAGGCGACGAUCCAUAGCUGGUCUGAGAGGAUGAUCAGCCACACUGGGACUGAGCCACGGCCCAGACUCCUACGGGAGGCAGCAGUGGGGAAUAUUGGACAAUGGGCGAAAGCCUGAUCCAGCAAUGCCGCGUGAGUGAUGAAGGCCUUAGGGUUGUAAAGCUCUUUUACCCGGGAUGAUAAUGACAGUACCGGGAGAAUAAGCUCCGGCUAACUCCGUG